AUUGAACGCUGGCGGCAGGCUUAACACAUGCAAGUCGAACGAGUGGCGGACGGGUGAGUAAUGCUUGGGAAUCUAGCUUAUGGAGGGGGAUAACUACUGGAAAAGGUAGCUAAUACCGCAUACCAUCGGAUGUGCCCAGAUUGGAUUAGCUAGUAGGUGGGGUAACGGCUAACCUAGGCGACGAUCCCUAGCUGGUCUGAGAGGAUGAACAGCCACACUGGAACUGAUCCACGGCCCAGACUCCUACGGGAGGCAGCAGUGGGGAAUAUUGCACAAUCGGCGCAAGCCUGAUGCAGCCAUGCCGCGUGUAUGAAGAAGGCCGUCGGGUUGUAAAUUACUUUCAGCGAGGAGGCGUUACUCGCAGAAGAAGCACCGGCUAACUCCGUGCCAGCCGCCGCGGUAAUAC
Molecule: ribosomal RNA, 406 nt
Filed under: uncultured bacterium
Lineage: Bacteria
Description: partial 16S ribosomal RNA
Rfam family: Bacterial small subunit ribosomal RNA
Source: RNAcentral